CCUCGGUAUCUGCGUCUCUCCAAAACAACAACAUAAAAUAUUUCUGACUAGAUUUUCUGGGUGCUCUUUGAUUUUUUUUCUUUUUUUCUUUUUUUGUUUUCACGUCAAAGGAGAAAAAACAAUUAACAAACAGAGUUCGUGAGGGUUGAUUAUGUUACAUUUGGUUGCCAUUCUUGGAAUGCUUUAAAAGGAUUAGUUACUCACUGGUUUGAUUCUUUCUCAGUUUUAGUUGUUGGGUUUUAAUUACUUUUCUCUAUUGGAACAAUGUCUCUCUGUCUCUUGUUUAUGGACUGCUUACUUUAUUCUCUA
This is an RNA transcript of Populus trichocarpa (black cottonwood), 309 nucleotides long. RefSeq lists it as uncharacterized. The transcript is spliced from 2 exons. Lineage: Eukaryota; Viridiplantae; Streptophyta; Magnoliopsida; Malpighiales; Salicaceae. The record is from RefSeq and is a predicted model, not a curated record.